RNAcentral lists this small nuclear RNA (162 nucleotides) under Vicugna pacos (alpaca). RNAcentral describes it as "U1 spliceosomal RNA (ENSVPAG00000015770.1)". It matches the Rfam family "U1 spliceosomal RNA". From Rfam's summary of the family: U1 is a small nuclear RNA (snRNA) component of the spliceosome (involved in pre-mRNA splicing). The record is from Rfam by way of RNAcentral. Lineage: Eukaryota; Metazoa; Chordata; Mammalia; Artiodactyla; Camelidae.
AUACUUACCUGGCAGGGGAGAUACCAUGAUCACGAAGGUGGUUUUCCCAGGGCGAGGCUCAUCCACUGCACUCCAGAUGUGCUGACCCCUGCUUUUUCCCGAAAUAUGGGAAACUACUGCUUAAUUUGUGGUAGUGGCGGACUGCAUUCACACUUUCCCCAU